Molecule: ribosomal RNA, 643 nt
Filed under: Stanleya viridiflora
Lineage: Eukaryota; Viridiplantae; Streptophyta; Magnoliopsida; Brassicales; Brassicaceae
Description: eukaryotic LSU rRNA
Rfam family: 5.8S ribosomal RNA (bases 259-414)
Source: RNAcentral
CAGAACGACCCGAGAACGAUGAAUCAUCACUCUCGGUGGGCCGGUUUCUUAGCCGAUCCCGCGCCUGCCGAUUCCGUGGUUAUGCGCAUGGUCCCAGUCAAGAUUUUUUUAAUCUCGGCUGGGUAGUGUGCCUAGCUUCCGGAUAUCACAAAACCCCGGCACGAAAAGUGUCAAGGAACAUGCAACUAAACAGCCUGCGUUCGCUGACCCGGAGACGGUGUUUACGCGGACGCUGUGCUGCAAUCUAAAGUCUAAAACGACUCUCGGCAACGGAUAUCUCGGCUCUCGCAUCGAUGAAGAACGUAGCGAAAUGCGAUACUUGGUGUGAAUUGCAGAAUCCCGUGAACCAUCGAGUCUUUGAACGCAAGUUGCGCCCCAAGCCUUCUGGCCGAGGGCACGUCUGCCUGGGUGUCACAAAUCGUCGUCCCCCCAUCCUCCCGAGGAUAUGGGACGGAAGCUGGUCUCCCGUGUGUUACCGCACGCGGUUGGCCAAAAUCCGAGCUAAGGACGCGAGGAGCGUCUCGACAUGCGGUGGUGAAUUCAAGCCUCGUCAUAUCGUCGGUCGCUCCGGUCCGGAAGCUCUCGAUGACCCAAAGUCCUCAACGCGACCCCAGGUCAGGCGGGAUCACCCGCUGAGUUUAAG